AACGGUCUAUACCUGCGGUACCUGCGGAGGGAUCAUUACCGAGUUCUCGCCCCUCGCGGGGUAGACCUCCCACCCACUGUGAUCACUACCGUCGUUGCUUUGGCGGGCCGCUGGGCCCAGCCCACCGCCGGCUCCGGCUGGCGCGUGCCCGCCAGAGGCCCUACAAACGCUGGAUAUCAGUGCCGUCUGAGUACACAUGUUAAUCGUUAAAACUUUUAGCAACGGAUCUCUAGAUCGGAA
This 240-nucleotide unclassified non-coding RNA is filed under the name soil metagenome. Its description in RNAcentral is "partial contains 5.8S ribosomal RNA, internal transcribed spacer 2, and large subunit ribosomal RNA". The record is from RNAcentral.